GUUUGGAUAAGUAACGUUACGUUAGUUUAGGUUAGCUAGGUUAGGUUAGUUUAUGUUAUGUUAGGUAAGGUUAGGUUAGGUUUGUCUAGGAUAAGCUAUAUUAUGUUGGAAUAAGUUUCGUUAGGUUAGGUUAGGUUGGG
This is a long non-coding RNA of Schistocerca gregaria, 140 nucleotides long. RefSeq lists it as uncharacterized. The record is from RefSeq and is a predicted model, not a curated record. NCBI's taxonomy places the organism in Eukaryota, Metazoa, Arthropoda, Insecta, Orthoptera, Acrididae. The transcript is spliced from 3 exons.